RNAcentral lists this ribosomal RNA (946 nucleotides) under uncultured organism. RNAcentral's name for it is "bacterial SSU rRNA". It matches the Rfam family "Bacterial small subunit ribosomal RNA", at positions 24 to 960 of the family's 1533-position model. The record is from RNAcentral.
UCAGAACGAACGCUGGCGGCGCGUUUUAAGCAUGCAAGUCGAGCGGUAGAGUGGUUUUCGGACUGCUUGAGAGUGGCGAACGGGUGAGUAACACGUAGGUGAUCUACCUUGGGGUUGGGGAUAGCCCAUGGAAACAUGGGGUAAUACCCGCUAUUUCCUAUAUACUGUGGUGUAUAGGGAAAAGGCGCUUAGGCGCCGCCCUGGGAUGAGCCUGCGUUCCAUUAGUUAGUUGGUGAGGUAAGAGCUCACCAAGGCGACGAUGGAUAGGCGGCCUGAGAGGGUGACCGCCCACACUGGGACUGAGACACGGCCCAGACUCCUACGGGAGGCAGCAGCUAAGAAUCUUCCGCAAUGGGCGCAAGCCUGACGGAGCGACGCCGCGUGGACGAAGAAGGCCGUGAGGUUGUAAAGUCCUUUUUUUGUUGAAGAAUAAUGGUGGUAGGGAAUGACCAUCAGAUGACGUUAUGCGAAGAAUAAGCCCCGGCUAAUUACGUGCCAGCAGCCGCGGUAACACGUAAGGGGCGAGCGUUGUUCGGAAUUAUUGGGCGUAAAGGGCGCGUAGGCGGUUAAGCAAGCCUGGUGUGAAAUACUCCAGCCUAACUGGAGGGGUGCGCUGGGAACUGUUUAACUUGAGUUCAGGAAGGGAAGCUGGAAUUCCAGGUGUAGGGGUGAAAUCUGUAGAUAUCUGGAAGAACACCGGAGGCGAAGGCGAGCUUCUAGCCAUGGACUGACGCUGAGGCGCGAAAGCGUGGGGAGCGAACAGGGUUAGAUACCCUGGUAGUCCACGCUGUAAACGAUGUGCACUGGGUGUUGGGACGAGAAGUCUCAGUGCCGUAGCAAACGCGAUAAGUGCACCGNCUGGGGAGUAUGCCCGCAAGGGUGAAACUCANAGGACUUGACGGGGGCCCGCACAAGCGGUGGAGCAUGUGGUUUACUUCGAUGAUAC